This 247-nucleotide unclassified non-coding RNA is filed under the name uncultured Gaiellales bacterium. RNAcentral describes it as "contains 16S-23S intergenic spacer region". The record is from RNAcentral. Lineage: Bacteria; Bacillati; Actinomycetota; Thermoleophilia; Gaiellales.
AGGGCUUGACAUGCACUGGAAUGCCGUAUUUCUACGGCAUUCCAGUGCAUGUCAAGCCCUGGUAAGGUUCUUCGCGUUGCGUCGAAUUAAACCACAUGCUCCGCUGCUUGUGCGGGCCCCCGUCAAUUCCUUUGAGUUUUAGCCUUGCGGCCGUACUCCCCAGGCGGGGUGCUUAAUGCGUUAGCUUCGGCACGGACGGAGUCGACACCGCCCACACCUAGCACCCAUCGUUUACGGCGUGGACUAC